GGUUUGGUCCCAGCCUUGAAAUCAGUUUUUACUUGACUUACACAUGCAAGUCUCCGCACACCCGUGAAAACGCCCUUCCAACCCCCUAGGGACAAGGAGCUGAUAUCAGGCAUAAUAUUACCCAAAACAUCUAGCCACGCCACACCCAUAAGGGCCCUCAGCAGUGAUUAACAUUAAAAAUAAACGUCAGUUUGACUUAGCCAAACGAAAAUAGAGCCGGCCAAUCUGGUGCCAGCCGCCGCGGUUACACCAUGUGGCUCAAAUUGAUCUCAACACGGCGUAAAGCGUGAUUAAAGAAACAUAACCCUUAGGGUCAAAUUAAAAUUAAGCUGUAGCACGCCUGUUUUUAAGAAGCUCUAUUUCGAAAGAUACCCUAACCUACCAACUUGAAUUCACAACAACUAGAACACAAACUGGGAUUAGAUACCCCACUAUGCCUAGUCAUAAACUUUAACUUACUCUCACAUCGCCGGGGAACUACGAGCAAAGCUUAAAACCCAAAGGACUUGACGGUGCCCCAUAUCCCCCUAGAGGAGCCUGUCCUAUAACCGAUACCCCUCGUUCAACCUCACCACUUUUAGUUUAUCAGCCUGUAUACUUCCGUCGCCAGCUUACCGCAUGAGCGAACUUAGUAAGCUCAAUGUAAUCCACCAAAACG
Molecule: ribosomal RNA, 658 nt
Filed under: Pristimantis muranunka
Lineage: Eukaryota; Metazoa; Chordata; Amphibia; Anura; Strabomantidae
Description: partial small subunit ribosomal RNA
Rfam family: Bacterial small subunit ribosomal RNA
Source: RNAcentral